AUUGAACGCUGGCGGCAUGCCUUACACAUGCAAGUCGAACGGCAGCACGGGUGCUUGCCCCUGGUGGCGAGUGGCGAACGGGUGAGUAAUACAUCGGCACAUGUCCUGUAGUGGGGGAUAGCCCGGCGAAAGCCGGAUUAAUACCGCAUACGAUCUACGGAUGAAAGCGGGGGACCUUCGGGCCUCGCGCUAUAGGGUUGGCCGAUGGCUGAUUAGCUAGUUGGUGGGGUAAAGGCCUACCAAGGCGACGAUCAGUAGCUGGUCUGAGGGGACGACCAGCCACACUGGGACUGAGACACGGCCCAGACUCCUACGGGAGGCAGCAGUGGGGAAUUUUGGACAAUGGGCGAAAGCCUGAUCCAGCAAUGCCGCGUGUGUGAAGAAGGCCUUCGGGUUGUAAAGCACUUUUGUCCGGAAAGAAAUCCUUGGCUCUAAUACAGUCGGGGGAUGACGGUACCGGAAGAAUAAGCACCGGCUAACUACGUG
RNAcentral lists this ribosomal RNA (486 nucleotides) under uncultured bacterium. Its description in RNAcentral is "partial 16S ribosomal RNA". It matches the Rfam family "Bacterial small subunit ribosomal RNA", at positions 30 to 507 of the family's 1533-position model. The record is from RNAcentral.